RNAcentral lists this ribosomal RNA (465 nucleotides) under uncultured bacterium. Its description in RNAcentral is "partial 16S ribosomal RNA". It matches the Rfam family "Bacterial small subunit ribosomal RNA", at positions 338 to 795 of the family's 1533-position model. The record is from RNAcentral.
CCUACGGGAGGCAGCAGUGGGGAAUCUUGCGCAAUGCUCGUAAGAGUGACGCAGCGACGCCGCGUGAAGGACGAAGGCCUUCGGGUCGUAACGUUCUUUAGACAGGGAAGAAAAUGCCUAUAAGUAACUGUGUAUGUAUUGACGGUACCUGUAUAAGCAGCCCCGGCUAACUCCGUGCCAGCAGCCGCGGUAAUACGGAGGUGGUGAGCGUUGUUCGGAGUGACUGGGCGUAAAGAGCACGUAGGCGGUGUUGUAAGUCAUUAGUCAAAGACUAGAGCUCAACUUUAGUAAGGCUAGUGAUACUAUCAUCCUAGAGUAUCAGAGAGGAUUGCAGAAUUCCUGGUGUAGCGGUGAAAUGCGUAGAUAUCAGGAGGAAUACCGUUAGCGAAGGCGGCAAUCUGGCUGGAAACUGACGCUGAGGUGCGAAAGCGUGGGUAGCAAACAGGAUUAGAUACCCUGGUAGUC